Molecule: ribosomal RNA, 946 nt
Filed under: Chryseobacterium indologenes
Lineage: Bacteria; Pseudomonadati; Bacteroidota; Flavobacteriia; Flavobacteriales; Weeksellaceae
Description: bacterial SSU rRNA
Rfam family: Bacterial small subunit ribosomal RNA
Source: RNAcentral
CCGCAUGGAGCNUACCUGCAGCCGAGCGGUAGAGAUCUUUCGGGAUCUUGAGAGCGGCGUACGGGUGCGGAACACGUGUGCAACCUGCCUUUAUCAGGGGGAUAGCCUUUCGAAAGGAAGAUUAAUACCCCAUAAUAUAAGAAACGGCAUCGUUUUUUAUUGAAAACUCCGGUGGAUAGAGAUGGGCACGCGCAAGAUUAGAUAGUUGGUGAGGUAACGGCUCACCAAGUCAACGAUCUUUAGGGGGCCUGAGAGGGUGAUCCCCCACACUGGUACUGAGACACGGACCAGACUCCUACGGGAGGCAGCAGUGAGGAAUAUUGGACAAUGGGUGCGAGCCUGAUCCAGCCAUCCCGCGUGAAGGACGACGGCCCUAUGGGUUGUAAACUUCUUUUGUAUAGGGAUAAACCUACCCUCGUGAGGGUAGCUGAAGGUACUAUACGAAUAAGCACCGGCUAACUCCGUGCCAGCAGCCGCGGUAAUACGGAGGGUGCAAGCGUUAUCCGGAUUUAUUGGGUUUAAAGGGUCCGUAGGCUGAUUUGUAAGUCAGUGGUGAAAUCUCACAGCUUAACUGUGAAACUGCCAUUGAUACUGCAGGUCUUGAGUGUUGUUGAAGUAGCUGGAAUAAGUAGUGUAGCGGUGAAAUGCAUAGAUAUUACUUAGAACACCAAUUGCGAAGGCAGGUUACUAAGCAACAACUGACGCUGAUGGACGAAAGCGUGGGGAGCGAACAGGAUUAGAUACCCUGGUAGUCCACGCCGUAAACGAUGCUAACUCGUUUUUGGGGCGCAAGUUUCAGAGACUAAACGAAAGUGAUAAGUUAGCCACCUGGGGAGUACGAACGCAAGUUUGAAACUCAAAGGAAUUGACGGGGGCCCGCACAAGCGGGGGAUUAUGUGGGUUAUUCGAUGAUACGCGAGGGAACUUACCAGGGCUUAAAGGGGAA